RNAcentral lists this ribosomal RNA (253 nucleotides) under uncultured bacterium. Its description in RNAcentral is "partial 16S ribosomal RNA". It matches the Rfam family "Bacterial small subunit ribosomal RNA", at positions 524 to 776 of the family's 1533-position model. The record is from RNAcentral.
UACGAAGGGGGCUAGCGUUGUUCGGAAUUACUGGGCGUAAAGCGCGCGUAGGCGGAUAUUUAAGUCAGGGGUGAAGUCCCGGGGCUCAACCCUGGAACUGCCUUUGAUACUGGAUAUCUGGAGUUCGGGAGAGGUGAGUGGAAUUCCGAGUGUAGAGGUGAAAUUCGUAGAUAUUCGGAGGAACACCAAUGGCGAAGGCAAUCUCCUGGACCUGCACUGACGCUCAUGCACGAAAGCGUGGGGAGCAAACAGG